CAGCCGCCACGGUAAUACGUAGGGUGCGAGCGUUAAUCGGAAUUACUGGGCGUAAAGCGUGCGCAGGCGGUUCGUUAAGACAGAUGUGAAAUCCCCGGGCUUAACCUGGGAACUGCAUUUGUGACUGGCGAGCUAGAGUAUGGCAGAGGGGGGUAGAAUUCCACAUGUAGCAGUGAAAUGCGUAGAGAUGUGGAGGAAUACCGAUGGCGAAGGCAGCCCCCUGGGCCAAUACUGACGCUCAUGCACGAAAGCGUGGGGAGCAAACAGGAUUAGAUACCCGAGUAGUCCCUGUCUCUUAUAC
This 301-nucleotide ribosomal RNA is filed under the name uncultured bacterium. RNAcentral's name for it is "partial 16S ribosomal RNA". It matches the Rfam family "Bacterial small subunit ribosomal RNA", at positions 509 to 807 of the family's 1533-position model. The record is from RNAcentral.